Molecule: long non-coding RNA, 677 nt
Organism: Scatophagus argus
Lineage: Eukaryota; Metazoa; Chordata; Actinopteri; Scatophagidae
Exons: 3
Source: RefSeq, a predicted model, not a curated record
UCUCUUCAGAUUACUUAUUUUGUCAAAGCAAGAGCAAAAAUCAAAUCCAGGUAUUUUAUUUCUCCAAUAUGAAACUGAGCCCUAAACCAGCCAAUAUCUGGGUUAUACUGGCCAAAAUUAUUAAUUUCUUUUUUAAUGUCAGCUAUUCAUUUUUAGUUGACUACAUGGAAAUGAUUAUUAUAUGAUAUAAAAGUCAUUGUUUUAAGCUUUAGUCAUGUUACCUUGACAACAACAAUAAGAUGUUUAGCCAAACACAGAUAAAAUAUCAGGACUCUACAUGGUUGUUCAGGCUGAUUGAAGAUAUGAUAAUGAAUGAUUUUUUCACUGACCUAAAUUAUAACAGAUUCAUAUUAGAGUGCGUCCUGUGACGAGAGGGGUACAAUGACUAAACUAUUGCCUACAUGUCGUUCAGACUUUGCAGGUUGUUAUCUCCUCCUAAUAAUGAUUACAUUUAUUACCCCAAUUUCAAAGGCACCUCCCUUUUUAUCUGCACACAACCUACUAUAUAAAAGGCCAAACUUUACUGAAAACUUCGGGUCUCUUAUUCAGUCUCGAGUAAUCCAGGAAAGUUGUGAGAAUUACAUUCAAGAUGACCAGGCUCACAAUUCUAGCAGGCUUAUGUUUGGUGAUAUGCCAACUUGGUAAGUUGUAAUAUGUUUCUGAUCAGCUAGCAUCAU